This 578-nucleotide ribosomal RNA is filed under the name Colletotrichum karsti. RNAcentral's name for it is "eukaryotic LSU rRNA". The stretch from base 218 to 371 matches the Rfam family "5.8S ribosomal RNA". The record is from RNAcentral. Lineage: Eukaryota; Fungi; Ascomycota; Sordariomycetes; Glomerellales; Glomerellaceae.
UUGGUGAACCAGCGGAGGGAUCAUUACUGAGUUACCGCUCUAUAACCCUUUGUGAACAUACCUACAACUGUUGCUUCGGCGGGUAGGCCGUCCCCUGAAAAGGACGCCUCCCGGCCCGGACCGGACCCCCCGCGGGACCGGACCCGGCGCCCGCCGGAGGAUAACCAAACUCUAUUGUAACGACGUUUCUUCUGAGUGGCAUAAGCAAAAUAAUCAAAACUUUUAACAACGGAUCUCUUGGUUCUGGCAUCGAUGAAGAACGCAGCGAAAUGCGAUAAGUAAUGUGAAUUGCAGAAUUCAGUGAAUCAUCGAAUCUUUGAACGCACAUUGCGCCCGCCAGCAUUCUGGCGGGCAUGCCUGUUCGAGCGUCAUUUCAACCCUCAAGCUCUGCUUGGUGUUGGGGCUCUACGGUCGACGUAGGCCCUCAAAGGUAGUGGCGGACCCUCCCGGAGCCUCCUUUGCGUAGUAACAUUUCGUCUCGCACUGGGAUCCGGAGGGACUCUUGCCGUAAAACCCCCCAAUUUUCCAAAGGUUGACCUCGGAUCAGGUAGGAAUACCCGCUGAACUUAAGCAUAUCA